GAUGAACGCUGGCGGCGUGCCUAAUACAUGCAAGUCGAGCGAACAGACGAGGAGCUUGCUCCUCUGACGUUAGCGGCGGACGGGUGAGUAAUACGAGGAUAACCUACCUAUAAGACCGGGAUAACUUCGGGAAACCGGCGCUAAUACCGGCAAAAAUAUUGACCCGCAGGGUCCCAUAGUGAAAGACGGUCUUGCUGUCACGUAUAGAUGGAUCCGCGCCGCAUUAGCUAGUUGGGAAGGUAACGGCUUACCAAGGCAACGAUGCGUAGCCGACCUGAGAGGGUGAUCGGCCACACUGGAACUGAGACACGGUCCAGACUCCUACGGGAGGCAGCAGUAGGGAAUCUUCCGCAAUGGGCGAAAGCUUGACGGAGCAACGCCGCGUGAGUGAUGAAGGUCUUCGGAUCGUAAAACUCUGUUAUUAGGGAAGAACAAAUGUGUAAGUAACUAUGCACGUCUUGACGGUACCUAAUCAGAAAGCCACGGCUAACUACGUG
Molecule: ribosomal RNA, 497 nt
Filed under: uncultured bacterium
Lineage: Bacteria
Description: partial 16S ribosomal RNA
Rfam family: Bacterial small subunit ribosomal RNA
Source: RNAcentral